RNAcentral lists this unclassified non-coding RNA (302 nucleotides) under Serendipita herbamans. Its description in RNAcentral is "sequence contains 5.8S rRNA gene". Lineage: Eukaryota; Fungi; Basidiomycota; Agaricomycetes; Sebacinales; Serendipitaceae. The record is from RNAcentral.
GAACGCACCUUGCACCCUUUGGUAUUCCGAAGGGUACGCCCGUUUGAGUGUCAUUGUAAUCUCACUUCUACAACUUUAUUGUUGUUUGAAUGUGGACUUGGAUGUUGCCGUUUUAUCACGGCUUGUCUUAAAUGCCUGAGUGUACCCUGUUUUGCAGCGUAUCCAGUGUAAUAAACAUUUCACUAGAGUUGGUCGAAAGACCGCGUUGACUAUAUGGGCUCUAUGCUUCAAACCGUCUGCCAUGUGGACAAUUUCUUGACAAUUUGACCUCAAAUCGGGUGGGACUACCCGCUGAACUUAAG